RNAcentral lists this ribosomal RNA (374 nucleotides) under uncultured bacterium. Its description in RNAcentral is "bacterial SSU rRNA". It matches the Rfam family "Bacterial small subunit ribosomal RNA", at positions 917 to 1291 of the family's 1533-position model. The record is from RNAcentral.
GGGCCCGCACAAGCGGUGGAGUAUGUGGUUUAAUUCGAUGCAACGCGAAGAACCUUACCAGGGUUUGACAUCCUGCGAAUCUCUUGGAAACAGGAGAGUGCCUUCGGGAACGCAGUGACAGGUGGUGCAUGGCUGUCGUCAGCUCGUGUCGUGAGGUGUCAGGUUAAGUCCUAUAACGAGCGCAACCCCCUGCCGUUAGUUGCCAGCAUGUAAUGAUGGGAACUCUAACGGGACUGCCGGUGCAAACCGCGAGGAAGGUGGGGAUGACGUCAAAUCAUCACGGCCCUUACGUCCUGGGCUACACACGUGCUACAAUGGCCGGUACAGAGGGCAGCCACACGCAAGGUGGAGCGAAUCCUUAAAACCGGUCUCAG